GACGAACGCUGGAGGCGUGCUUAACACAUGCAAGUCGAACGAUGAAAUGGAGCUUGCUCCAUGGAUUAGUGGCGAACGGGUGAGUAACACGUGAAUAACCUGCCCUUAAUUUUGGAAUAACCCAGGGAAACCUGGGCUAAUACCGGAUAAGUAAACCUGUGGCAUCACAUGGUUUUGGAAAGUUUUUCGAUUAAGGAUGGAUUCGCGGCCUAUCAGCUUGUUGGUGAGGUAAUGGCUCACCAAGGCGACGACGGGUAGCCGGCCUGAGAGGGUGAACGGCCACACUGGGACUGAGACACGGCCCAGACUCCUACGGGAGGCAGCAGUGGGGAAUAUUGCGCAAUGGACGAAAGUCUGACGCAGCGACGCCUCGUGAGGGACGAAGGUCCUCGGAUUGUAAACCUCUUUCAGCAGGGACGAAGCGAAAGUGACGGUACCUGCAGAAGAAGCACCGGCUAACUAUGUACCAGCCGCCGCUGUAA
This 482-nucleotide ribosomal RNA is filed under the name uncultured bacterium. Its description in RNAcentral is "partial 16S ribosomal RNA". It matches the Rfam family "Bacterial small subunit ribosomal RNA", at positions 28 to 523 of the family's 1533-position model. The record is from RNAcentral.